AGGAUGAACGCUGGCGGCGUGCCUAAUACAUGCAAGUCGAACGAGGUGCUUUUGUAGCAAUACGAGAGUAUCCUAGUGGCGAACGGGUGAGUAACGCGUUGGUGACCUACCCAAAGUGUGGAAUAACAGUCCGAAAGGAUUGCUAAUACCGCAUGUGGUUAUCGGGCUUAGAAACUGAUAACUAAAGGAGCAAUUCGCUUUGGGAGGGACCUGCGUCCCAUCAGCUAGUUGGUGAGGUAACGGCUCACCAAGGCUACGACGGGUAGGGACCUGAGAGGGUGACCCCCCACAAUGGAACUGAAACACGGUCCAUACACCUACGGGUGCAGCAGUAGGGAAUAUUGCGCAAUGGGCGAAAGCCUGAUGCAGCAACGCCGCGUGUGCGAUGGAAGGCCUUCGGGUCGUAAAGCACUUUUCUGAGAGAUGAAGAAAGACAGUAUCUCAAGGAAUAAGUCUCGGACUAAACUACGUGCCAGCAGCCGC
RNAcentral lists this ribosomal RNA (483 nucleotides) under uncultured soil bacterium. Its description in RNAcentral is "bacterial SSU rRNA". It matches the Rfam family "Bacterial small subunit ribosomal RNA", at positions 26 to 518 of the family's 1533-position model. The record is from RNAcentral.